RNAcentral lists this ribosomal RNA (253 nucleotides) under uncultured bacterium. RNAcentral's name for it is "partial 16S ribosomal RNA". It matches the Rfam family "Bacterial small subunit ribosomal RNA", at positions 524 to 776 of the family's 1533-position model. The record is from RNAcentral.
UACGUAGGGUGCAAGCGUUAAUCGGAAUUAUUGGGCGUAAAGAGCUCGUAGGCGGUUUGUUGCGUCGGCUGUGAAAACCUGAGGCUCAACCUCAGGCCUGCAGUCGAUACGAGCAGACUAGAGUGUUGCAGGGGAGACUGGAAUUCCUGGUGUAGCGGUGAAAUGCGCAGAUAUCAGGAGGAACACCGGUGGCGAAGGCGGGUCUCUGGGCAACAACUGACGCUGAGGAGCGAAAGCGUGGGGAGCGAACAGG